Molecule: ribosomal RNA, 1021 nt
Filed under: Pireneitega luctuosa
Lineage: Eukaryota; Metazoa; Arthropoda; Arachnida; Araneae; Agelenidae
Also listed under: 6 other names
Description: SSU rRNA
Rfam family: Eukaryotic small subunit ribosomal RNA
Source: RNAcentral
GAUUAGCCAUGCAUGUCUAAGUACAUGCCGUAUUAAGGCGAAACCGCGAAUGGCUCAUUAAAUCAGUCAUGGUUCCUUGGAUCGUACCUUACUACUUGGAUAACUGUGGCAAUUCUAGAGCUAAUACAUGCAGCAGAGCUCCGACCUUCGGGGACGAGCGCUUUUAUUAGACCAAAACCAAUCGGACCUCGUGUCCGUCCUUUGUGGUGACUCUGUAUAACUUUGGGCUGAUCGCACGGGCCUGUCCCGGCGACGUAUCUUUCAAGUGUCUGCCUUAUCAACUUUCGAUGGUAGGUUACGCGCCUACCAUGGUCGUAACGGGUAACGGGGAAUCAGGGUUCGAUUCCGGAGAGGGAGCCUGAGAAACGGCUACCACAUCCAAGGAAGGCAGCAGGCGCGCAAAUUACCCACUCCCAGAACGGGGAGGUAGUGACGAAAAAUAACAAUACGGGACUCUUUUGAGACCCCGUAAUUGGAAUGAGUACACUCUAAAUCCUUUAACGAGGAUCCAUUGGAGGGUAAGUCUGGUGCCAGCAACCGCGGUAAUUCCAGCUCCAAUAGCGUAUAUUAAAGUUGUUGCGGUUAAAAAGCUCGUAGUUGGAUCUCAGUUCCAGACGGGUGGUCCGCCUACCGGUGGUUACUGCCUGUUCUGAACAGUCAGCCGGUUUCUCUUGAUGAUCUUCACCGGUUGUCUUGGGUGACCGGCAAGUUUACUUUGAAAAAAUUAGAGUGCUCAAAGCAGGCGUGACGCCUGAAUAAUGGUGCAUGGAAUAAUGGAAUAGGACCUCGGUUCUAUUUUGUUGGUUUUCGGAACACGAGGUAAUGAUUAAGAGGGACAGACGGGGGCAUUCGUAUUGCGACGCUAGAGGUGAAAUUCUUGGACCGUCGCAAGACGAACUACUGCGAAAGCAUUUGCCAAGAAUGUUUCCAUUAAUCAAGAACGAAAGUUAGAGGUUCGAAGGCGAUCAGAUACCGCCCUAGUUCUAACCAUAAACGAUGCCAGCCAGCGAUCCGGCUGUGU